Molecule: non-coding RNA, 94 nt
Organism: Papiliotrema laurentii
Lineage: Eukaryota; Fungi; Basidiomycota; Tremellomycetes; Tremellales; Rhynchogastremaceae
Source: the annotation of a GenBank genome assembly
GGUUCUAUCGUACAGCGGUUUAGUACGUCAGGUUUUGAGAAGCCUACCGCAAUCCAGAAUCCUGACAACCUGGGUUCGAAUCCCAGUAGGACCU